GAGGUAAACGGGUGGAUCCGCAAAGUCGGCCCGCGGAAUUCAGCGCGGCGCCGGGCCUGGGGCUGCUUCGGUUCGGGAUCCUCGGACCCGACCGGAGUGCCGCGCCGGGCUCCGCCGCGUGCACUUUCCGCGGGCAGAGCGCCACAACCGGUUUCGCGGGCGGUCAGAAGCCUGGCGGGAAGGUAGGUAGGUGGCGGCAACGUCGCCUACUGUUACAGCCCGUCGUGGCCGACCGUCUCGGGACCGAGGGACUACCGCACGCUUCGAGGCUACCCGGCCUUCCGGGGAGUCGACUGGGAGAGACUGGCAACCGUGUCUUCCGACCGCUCUCUCGCGACCGGAUCGGCUACCAGGCGCGC
Molecule: ribosomal RNA, 359 nt
Filed under: Carychium tridentatum
Lineage: Eukaryota; Metazoa; Mollusca; Gastropoda; Ellobiida; Ellobiidae
Description: partial 28S ribosomal RNA
Source: RNAcentral